GCAUGGGGACAAUGGAGAGCUAGGCCAGGAUGAUGGCCCUGUGGAUGGCAGUGGCCACCUCCUUGGAGCACUUAACACCCAGACCGACGUGACCGUUGUAGCCCGCAAUGGCCACAAACGCCUUGAACCUGGUUCGCUGGCCGGCUCCGGUCUGCUUCUGCACCGGCAUAAUCUUCAAAACCUAGGCCUCGAGAGAGGCCCCCCAGGAAAAAAUCAAUGAUCUCAGAUUCCGUGAUGGGCAGGGAGAAGAGACAGAUCUCCUCCAGGGAAGUGAUCUUCAUGUGCUUGACCAGGCAGCCCAGCUUGCUGACGGGCAUCCACUCCUUAUCCUUGGCCUUGCCUCCGCGAGCUCCGUGGCUUCGGCCCCAGCCUGGUCCACGGCAGUGACCCCGGCCUCGGAUGCCACUGCCGAAACCUCCACGGAAGCCACCAUGGUUCCCCAUCCCAGGGCCCCGGGGCCUCCGGGACUCCCCCCGCAACCCAAUGCCGGCUGCGCCGGCGUCAUCCGCCAUUUGGUGUUUUCUCGGAGAAGAAGCUACAUGUGGAAUAUAUUAACGCAACAAAUUGUGCGUACUUGCUAGACAUUAGGCAUGAUAGCAAGUGCUAGGGUUACAAAGUAUUGCUUUUUGGGGAACCCAUGGUUGUUGGGGAGAAACCAGAAGAUCAGUCAUCACAGUGCGGCAAGAUCAGACUUGUGGUUUGUUCAGGUUCUGGGAGCCGUCACUGCAGUGAGAAUGGGACCCUGGUUGAAGGAACCUGUUGUUCUUAUGGUGGAGGGCAGAAACCCAAGAGGGCUGGAGCCAAUCCAUCCCUGUUUUCUUUAGACGCUGACUCCUGCUGUCUACCAGAUCCUCGUGGUACAAUGACUGGUGUAGACUGGCUUGUUGAAGUCACUCUCUGGAUCUGAGCAACGCUGGCUGAGCCGUGAUGAAGUAUUCCUAUCCAUCCACUAUGCUUCACAGUGGGAAUCUCUCACUGUUCAUCACCGCUGCCCUAGCAGCCGCAGGGAUUCUUCACCCAUGGUUGCUUAGGUUUAUAAGCAAGGAAGCUGAAUGAAGUCCCUUUCCUCUCUGGAUGAGCCCCUGGGUUUCUGGAAGAGUCUUAAAAUCACCCCUAAAUGGCUUCCAAGCACUGAAGCCCGAGAUGUUAGCUGGCCUGUGUGAGGCCUUGAGACAGAAUGCCACAGCCACACCCCAAGGAUGCUGAAGGGGAUUUCCCUCCUCUGUGGUUUUUCUCCUUUCUUCCCGCAGCACUCCUCCUACGUGCUAACAUCUUCUAGUCAAACAACUCUCCUUUUCAAAGGGACCAGGCACAGUUUCUGCUUAUCCCUGAGUAGCAGUGUUCAGUUUCCUGCCAGCCUGUGGAGUUUUUCAAACAAGCCAAUCACCUCCUCCUGUGGGAACUGAGAAGCACCCCACCCUCUCGAUACUACAAAGCCCCUGCUUGUUCCCUAGUGCAACUCCCAUGUGGUCCUGUGGAGCAUAUGGUAUCUUCCUCUUCUGGGCAGUGAGCAUAUGUGACUAAUAAACUAUCUAUCUCA
RNAcentral lists this long non-coding RNA (1540 nucleotides) under Homo sapiens (human). RNAcentral describes it as "LRRC52 antisense RNA 1". The record is from RNAcentral. Lineage: Eukaryota; Metazoa; Chordata; Mammalia; Primates; Hominidae.